RNAcentral lists this ribosomal RNA (443 nucleotides) under uncultured bacterium. RNAcentral's name for it is "partial 16S ribosomal RNA". It matches the Rfam family "Bacterial small subunit ribosomal RNA", at positions 338 to 795 of the family's 1533-position model. The record is from RNAcentral.
CCUACGGGUGGCAGCAGUGGGGGAUAUUGGACAAUGGGGGGAACCCUGAUCCAGCGACGCCGCGUGAGUGAAGAAGUAUUUCGGUAUUUUAAGCUCUGUCAGCAGGGAAGAAAGAAAUGACGGUACCUGACCAAGAAGCCUCGGCUGACUACGGGCCAGCAGCCGCGGUAAUACGUAGGGGGCAGGCGUUCUCCGGAAUUACUGGGUGUAAAGGGAGCGUAGACGGUUAAGUAAGUCUGGAGUGAAAGGCCGGGGCCCAACCCCGGGACUGCUGUGGAAACUAUUGAACUUGAGUGCAGGAGAGGUAAGCGGAAUUCCUGGUGUAGCGGUGAAAUGCGUAGAUAUUAGGAGGAACACCGGUGGCGAAGGCGGCUUACUGGACUGUAACUGACGUUGAAGCUCGAAAGCGUGGGGAGCGAACAGGAUUAGAUACCCGAGUAGUC